This 447-nucleotide RNase P RNA is filed under the name Candidatus Saccharimonadota bacterium. RNAcentral describes it as "RNase P RNA component class A". It matches the Rfam family "Bacterial RNase P class A". Rfam says of the family: Ribonuclease P (RNase P) is a ubiquitous endoribonuclease, found in archaea, bacteria and eukarya as well as chloroplasts and mitochondria. Its best characterised activity is the generation of mature 5'-ends of tRNAs by cleaving the 5'-leader elements of precursor-tRNAs. Lineage: Bacteria; Candidatus Saccharimonadota. The record is from RNAcentral.
UUGGUUGUCGGAGUGAUCGCCCUAAUUUCAAGGGAGGAAAGUCCGGACAGCGUAGGGCAGGACAGUUGCUAACAGCAACCGAGAGUAAUCUUAGGGAAAGUGCCACAGAAACAAUACCGCCUGGUGCGUCUCGCUAGUGUGAGAAGCAGGGAAUAGGUACUUGUUACUGGUAACUUGGGACUAAAUCCUAUUACCAAGUAACUAGUUACGAUUUACUACGACUCGCUCUAGUGAGGCGUGUUAGGUAAGGCUGAAAAGAGCGGGGUAAGAGCCCGCAGUCGGUGUCGGUGACGGCAUUGGGAGGUAAACCCUGUCCGCUGCAAGACGACUGAUUCUAAUACGCCUGCUCGGCGAGAGUCAGUGUUAGUUCGCAACGAGGUAAUUAGCGAUAAUCAUCCCAGAUAGAUGAUCGCAUAAACAGGAUCCGGCUUAUCGACAACCACUUUU